AUUGAACGCUGGCGGCAGGCCUAACACAUGCAAGUCGAGCGAGUGGCGGACGGGUGAGUAAUGUAUGGGGACUGCCCGAUAGAGGGGGAUAACUACUGGAAAAGGUGGCUAAUAACGAAUACUAUCGGAUAACCCAUAAGGGAUUAGCUAGUAGGUGGGGUAAUGGCUCAUCUAGGAGACGAUCGCUCGCUGGUUGGAGAGGAUGAUCGGCCACACUGGGACGAGAACACGGCCCGAACUCCAACGGGGGCAGCAGUGGGGAAUAUUGCACAAUGGGGGCAGGCCGGAUGCAGCCAUGCCGCGUGGAUGAAAAAGGCCUUAGGUUUGUAAAGUACUUUCAUCGGGGAGGCGUUACCCGCAGAAGAAGCACCGGCUAACUCCGUGCCAGCCGCCGCGGUAAUUC
Molecule: ribosomal RNA, 403 nt
Filed under: uncultured bacterium
Lineage: Bacteria
Description: partial 16S ribosomal RNA
Rfam family: Bacterial small subunit ribosomal RNA
Source: RNAcentral